This 982-nucleotide ribosomal RNA is filed under the name Curvularia tuberculata. RNAcentral describes it as "SSU rRNA". It matches the Rfam family "Eukaryotic small subunit ribosomal RNA", at positions 64 to 1035 of the family's 1831-position model. The record is from RNAcentral. Lineage: Eukaryota; Fungi; Ascomycota; Dothideomycetes; Pleosporales; Pleosporaceae.
UUAACUUAAUUUAAGCAAUUAUACCGUGAAACUGCGAAUGGCUCAUUAAAUCAGUUAUCGUUUAUUUGAUUAUACCUUACUACUUGGAUAACCGUGGUAAUUCUAGAGCUAAUACAUGCUGAAAAUCCCGACUUCGGAAGGGAUGUGUUUAUUAGAUAAAAAACCAAUGCCCUUCGGGGCUCUUUGGUGAUUCAUGAUAACUUUACGGAUCGCAUAGCCUUGCGCUGGCGACGGUUCAUUCAAAUUUCUGCCCUAUCAACUUUCGAUGGUAAGGUAUUGGCUUACCAUGGUUUCAACGGGUAACGGGGAAUUAGGGUUCGAUUCCGGAGAGGGAGCCUGAGAAACGGCUACCACAUCCAAGGAAGGCAGCAGGCGCGCAAAUUACCCAAUCCCGACACGGGGAGGUAGUGACAAUAAAUACUGAUACAGGGCUCUUUUGGGUCUUGUAAUUGGAAUGAGUACAAUUUAAACCUCUUAACGAGGAACAAUUGGAGGGCAAGUCUGGUGCCAGCAGCCGCGGUAAUUCCAGCUCCAAUAGCGUAUAUUAAAGUUGUUGCAGUUUAAAAAGCUCGUAGUUGAAACUUGGGCCUGGCUGGCGGGUCCGCCUCACCGCGUGCACUCGUCCGGCCGGGCCUUCCUUCUGAAGAACCUCAUGCCCUUCACUGGGCGUGUUGGGGAAUCAGGACUUUUACUUUGAAAAAAUUAGAGUGUUCAAAGCAGGCCUUUGCUCGAAUACGUUAGCAUGGAAUAAUAAAAUAGGGCGUGCGUUUCUAUUUGUUUGGUUUCUAGAGACGCCGCAUGAUUAACAGGAACAGUCGGGGGGCAUCAGUAUUCAGUUGUCAGAGGUUGAAAUUCUUGAAUUUUACCUGAAAGACAACCUACUGCGAAAGCCAUUUGCCAGGGAUGUUUUUCAUUAAUUCCAUGGAACCGAAAGGUUAGGGGGAUUCGAGAAACGAAUCAGAUUCCGGUCGUUGAUCUUUAA